RNAcentral lists this ribosomal RNA (253 nucleotides) under uncultured bacterium. RNAcentral's name for it is "partial 16S ribosomal RNA". It matches the Rfam family "Bacterial small subunit ribosomal RNA", at positions 524 to 776 of the family's 1533-position model. The record is from RNAcentral.
UACGUAGGGGGCAAGCGUUAUCCGGAUUUACUGGGUGUAAAGGGAGCGUAGACGGAGUUGCAAGUCUGAUGUGAAAAUCCGGGGCCCAACCCCGGAACUGCAUUGGAAACUGUAUUUCUAGAGUGUCGGAGAGGCAAGUGGAAUUCCUGGUGUAGCGGUGAAAUGCGUAGAUAUCAGGAGGAACACCAGUGGCGAAGGCGGCUUGCUGGACGAUGACUGACGUUGAGGCUCGAAAGCGUGGGGAGCAAACAGG